This 866-nucleotide ribosomal RNA is filed under the name uncultured Microbacterium sp. RNAcentral's name for it is "bacterial SSU rRNA". It matches the Rfam family "Bacterial small subunit ribosomal RNA", at positions 670 to 1533 of the family's 1533-position model. The record is from RNAcentral. Lineage: Bacteria; Bacillati; Actinomycetota; Actinomycetes; Micrococcales; Microbacteriaceae.
CUGGUGUAGCGGUGGAAUGCGCAGAUAUCAGGAGGAACACCGAUGGCGAAGGCAGAUCUCUGGGCCGUAACUGACGCUGAGGAGCGAAAGGGUGGGGAGCAAACAGGCUUAGAUACCCUGGUAGUCCACCCCGUAAACGUUGGGAACUAGUUGUGGGGUCCAUUCCACGGAUUCCGUGACGCAGCUAACGCAUUAAGUUCCCCGCCUGGGGAGUACGGCCGCAAGGCUAAAACUCAAAGGAAUUGACGGGGACCCGCACAAGCGGCGGAGCAUGCGGAUUAAUUCGAUGCAACGCGAAGAACCUUACCAAGGCUUGACAUAUACGAGAACGGGCCAGAAAUGGUCAACUCUUUGGACACUCGUAAACAGGUGGUGCAUGGUUGUCGUCAGCUCGUGUCGUGAGAUGUUGGGUUAAGUCCCGCAACGAGCGCAACCCUCGUUCUAUGUUGCCAGCACGUAAUGGUGGGAACUCAUGGGAUACUGCCGGGGUCAACUCGGAGGAAGGUGGGGAUGACGUCAAAUCAUCAUGCCCCUUAUGUCUUGGGCUUCACGCAUGCUACAAUGGCCGGUACAAAGGGCUGCAAUACCGCGAGGUGGAGCGAAUCCCAAAAAGCCGGUCCCAGUUCGGAUUGAGGUCUGCAACUCGACCUCAUGAAGUCGGAGUCGCUAGUAAUCGCAGAUCAGCAACGCUGCGGUGAAUACGUUCCCGGGUCUUGUACACACCGCCCGUCAAGUCAUGAAAGUCGGUAACACCUGAAGCCGGUGGCCUAACCCUUGUGGAGGGAGCCGUCGAAGGUGGGAUCGGUAAUUAGGACUAAGUCGUAACAAGGUAGCCGUAUUUAUCGGAGAGUUUGAUCCUGGCUCAG